RNAcentral lists this ribosomal RNA (1091 nucleotides) under Kaistella haifensis. Its description in RNAcentral is "bacterial SSU rRNA". It matches the Rfam family "Bacterial small subunit ribosomal RNA", at positions 34 to 1138 of the family's 1533-position model. The record is from RNAcentral. Lineage: Bacteria; Pseudomonadati; Bacteroidota; Flavobacteriia; Flavobacteriales; Weeksellaceae.
GGCUGCGGCAGCUACACAUGCAGCCGAGCGGUAUGGAUAGCUUGCUAUCCAGAGAGCGGCGUACGGGUGCGUAACACGUGUGCAACCUACCUUUAUCUGGGGGAUAGCCUUUCGAAAGGAAGAUUAAUACCCCAUAAUAUAAUGAUUGGCAUCAAUUAUUAUUGAAAACUCCGGUGGAUAGAGAUGGGCACGCGCAAGAUUAGAUAGUUGGUGAGGUAACGGCUCACCAAGUCUGUGAUCUUUAGGGGUCCUGAGAGGGAGAUCCCCCACACUGGUACUGAGACACGGACCAGACUCCUACGGGAGGCAGCAGUGAGGAAUAUUGGACAAUGGGUGAAAGCCUGAUCCAGCCAUCCCGCGUGAAGGAUGACGGUCCUAUGGAUUGUAAACUUCUUUUGUACAGGGAUAAACCUACUCUCGUGAGGGUAGCUGAAGGUACUGUACGAAUAAGCACCGGCUAACUCCGUGCCAGCAGCCGCGGUAAUACGGAGGGUGCAAGCGUUAUCCGGAUUUAUUGGGUUUAAAGGGUCCGUAGGCGGACCUGUAAGUCAGUGGUGAAAUCUCAUAGCUUAACUAUGAAACUGCCAUUGAUACUGCAGGUCUUGAGUAAAUUUGAAGUGGCUGGAAUAAGUAGUGUAGCGGUGAAAUGCAUAGAUAUUACUUAGAACACCAAUUGCGAAGGCAGGUCACUAAGAUUUAACUGACGCUGAUGGACGAAAGCGUGGGUAGCGAACAGGAUUAGAUACCCUGGUAGUCCACGCCGUAAACGAUGCUAACUCGUUUUUGGAUUUUCGGAUUCAGAGACCAAGCGAAAGUGAUAAGUUAGCCACCUGGGGAGUACGUUCGCAAGAAUGAAACUCAAAGGAAUUGACGGGGGCCCGCACAAGCGGUGGAUUAUGUGGUUUAAUUCGAUGAUACGCGAGGAACCUUACCAAGACUUAAAUGGGAAUUGACAGAUUUAGAAAUAGAUCCUCCUUCGGGCAAUUUUCAAGGUGCUGCAUGGUUGUCGUCAGCUCGUGCCGUGAGGUGUUAGGUUAAGUCCUGCAACGAGCGCAACCCCUGUCACUAGUUGCUAACAUUUAGUUGAGGAC